ACCCCCGGCUACGAUUGGUCCGACUACGGGCGGGGCGGGGCGGGGCGGGGAUGUUGACUGACAGCCGCGCAAGCUGGUUGAUGAGCCCAGUGGCGAACACAAGAAGUCGGCACUGCCUGUGCUACCCGCCCCCCACCCCCCACCCCCCGGGGGAGCUUGUGUCUGAUGACUGUGUGACUGGACCCUUUUGGAGACACAAAUACAGAUGACCUUCGGACAUCAGCGUUUCCCUGGAGCGUCCCUCAGCUGAUUCUCUGCCUGAGAACUGGCCACAAAGCUGGCCCAGCAGUGGCGGAGUUGCUGGGACCAGAGAAACACUGCUUGCCAAACGUGAGCAUGGAGACAGCAGGGUCUUGACGCUUCUCUCUUUGAAGUUAGUCUCUUGGCAAAAGUGCCAGAAUAUUCCACCCGAACCACACUCAAUGCUGGAUUAUCCUAGUUUGGACAUUUUAUGUCAAAAGCAGUUUGGUGAAUCUGAGAUGCUGAGAGGAGUUCCUAAAGGACGGAAGGGACUGUGUGGGACAAAAGACAUUCCUGGCUCCGCAGUGUUUCUCAAAAGCAACUUGACUGGGGUCCAGAGAAAAAGAAUAUACAGCCUUGGUGAGUCUCAUCAUCAGACAUGCUGACCUGACCUGCUUAAUCUCCUGAUGUCUUGAACUUUCAGCCGGAUCCAGUCAAGACACGGACAUCAGAGACUAAAUCAGUUGUUGGUGUGGCCUUCUUAAGGCCAACCAACUCCCCUAUUUUCCCUACCCUUCCCCCGCUUCAAAAUAUCUCCAUGCCCAUCUUCAGCUUAAAAAAGUUAUGAAGA
Long non-coding RNA from Apodemus sylvaticus (European woodmouse), 811 nucleotides. RefSeq lists it as uncharacterized. The record is from RefSeq and is a predicted model, not a curated record. The transcript is spliced from 3 exons. NCBI's taxonomy places the organism in Eukaryota, Metazoa, Chordata, Mammalia, Rodentia, Muridae.